GGAGAGAUGCCGGAGUGGUCGAUCGGGGCGGUCUCGAAAACCGUUGAACGCUUGUCGUUCCAAGGGUUCGAAUCCCUUUCUCUCCG
This 86-nucleotide transfer RNA is filed under the name Bacteroidales bacterium. RNAcentral describes it as "tRNA-Ser". It matches the Rfam family "tRNA". From Rfam's summary of the family: Transfer RNA (tRNA) molecules are approximately 80 nucleotides in length. Their secondary structure includes four short double-helical elements and three loops (D, anti-codon, and T loops). The record is from RNAcentral. RNAcentral also lists the same sequence under 1 other name. Lineage: Bacteria; Pseudomonadati; Bacteroidota; Bacteroidia; Bacteroidales.